UGGGUUCUCCAGAAAUCAAAGCCUGAUGCAGU
RNAcentral lists this non-coding RNA (32 nucleotides) under Homo sapiens (human). Lineage: Eukaryota; Metazoa; Chordata; Mammalia; Primates; Hominidae. The record is from RNAcentral.